CCCUUAGAUGUUCUGGGCCGCACGCGCGCUACACUGAUGCAUUCAACGAGUCUAAAACCUGGUCUGAUAGGGCUGGGUAAUCUUUUGAAAGUGCAUCGUGAUUGGGAUAGAUGAUUGCAAUUCUUCAUCUUCAACGAGGAAUGCCUAGUAAACGCAAGUCAUCAGCUUGCAUUGAUUACGUCCCUGCCCUUUGUACACACCGCCCGUCGCUCCUACCGAUUGAAUGAUCCGAUGAAUACCAUGGAUUGAGAGUACGAAUGGGUUCGCUCAUUUCUGCUGCUCGAGAAGUGGAGUAAAUCUUAUCAUUUAGAGGAAGGAGAAGCCGUAACA
This 330-nucleotide ribosomal RNA is filed under the name uncultured eukaryote. RNAcentral describes it as "partial 18S ribosomal RNA". It matches the Rfam family "Eukaryotic small subunit ribosomal RNA", at positions 1470 to 1796 of the family's 1831-position model. The record is from RNAcentral.